GACGAACGCUGGCGGCGCGCCUAACACAUGCAAGUCGAACGGAGCUGCGAGAAGCUUGCUUUUCUUAGCUUAGUGGCGAACGGGUGAGUAACGCGUGAGUAACCUGCCCUGGAGUGGGGGACAACAGUUGGAAACGACUGCUAAUACCGCAUAAGCCCACGAUCCGGCAUCGGAUUGAGGGAAAAGGAUUUAUUCGCUUCAGGAUGGACUCGCGUCCAAUUAGCUAGUUGGUGAGGUAACGGCCCACCAAGGCGACGAUUGGUAGCCGGACUGAGAGGUUGAACGGCCACAAUGGGACUGAGACACGGCCCAGACUCCUACGGGAGGCAGCAGUGGGGGAUAUUGCACAAUGGGGGAAACCCUGAUGCAGCGACGCCGCGUGGAGGAAGAAGGUUUUCGGAUUGUAAACUCCUGUCGUUAGGGACGAUAAUGACGGUACCUAACAAGAAAGCACCGGCUAACUACGUG
Molecule: ribosomal RNA, 468 nt
Filed under: uncultured bacterium
Lineage: Bacteria
Description: partial 16S ribosomal RNA
Rfam family: Bacterial small subunit ribosomal RNA
Source: RNAcentral